AUGGCAGCAACUGCCGAGAGCCGGGGGACAGCCCUGCAAGCCCCCGCAUCCAUUCUGGCGCCUCUGCAGGCCAGACCCCAGCAAGACAACAGGCCAACCCCAAGCCAUGCUGCAGCCAGGAGCCAAAGACGCAGGGUGCAGCUGAGGGUACAAAGGCACUACGCCCCUCCCAGCAGUGUGGCAACACCUGCAAGGACAGCCCAGGUGCCGGCCACCAAGACUGAAAAGAUGCCAGCAACACGGAGACGAAAAGAUGGCCAUGCUCGAGAGGACACAAGAGCUGCUGCUGGGAUCUCCAAGCCAGGAGGGAGGCAGCAGAAGGAAGCCACCUGGAACCUUCACUGGGACCCAGACGCAGCCCACCAGCAGGGGCCUGGCUCACCCCACAGCACUGGCAGAGAUUCUGCCAGAGAGGCAGUCAGCCCCGCACAGAGCGCAUCUCUUGCCAUGUCAGGGCCAACCAAUGCUGAGCCAGCAGAUUCUGCGCAGGUUGCAGGUCCUGCCAGUGAGGGGGACAAGAAUCCUAUGGGUGCAUCAGCACCCAGAGAUGCUAAAUCGCCUUCUCCCCUGGCUGCUGCUAUGCCCGGCCCUUCCACAAGCAGCCAGAAAAGACCGCCGACAUUGAAAGACCGGGUCAAGAUCAACUGGGAUAUCUAUGGGUGCUCCUCCUUUCGGCCAGCAAUGCAGAUCAUUCCGAGCGGGGAGAGGGAAGGCUGCCAGUUGUCCCGGUGGAACGAGUCCUGGCCGAGCAGCGUGAAGGUUCCGAGGUUGCGAAGGAUCUGGGCAGCAGACGACGGUGACACAGCUGACAGCACUGCAGCCAGUGCAUCGGGCAGGCAGGAGGUGGCAGUGAGGACUGCGGGCCAGCGCCUUCCCUACUUUUGCUCCACAACGAGUAAGACCAUUCUGCAGGACAUUCAGGAAGAGUGGGAAGAGAGCCCCAGGAUAGAAGCUGUGGCAGAAGCAGACGACGUCCUGCCCAGCACGUCUCCUGCCCCAUCUGGUGAGGCAGAUGCCAGGCCUUCAGCUGCUCCUAUGGCCGCAGUUCCUGGGCCCGAGGAGCUCCCCCCGGCCUGCAUGCCCAAAGAGGGAAAAGCUUCAGCCUCUCCCCUGGCUGCUGCUGUGCCCGGCCCUUCCACAAGCAGCCAGAAAAGACCGCCGACAUUGAAAGACCGGGUCAAGAUCAACUGGGAUAUCUAUGGGUGCUCCUCCUUUCAGCCAGCAAUGCAGAUCAUUCCGAGCGGGGAGAGGGAAGGCUGCCAGUUGUCCCGGUGGAACGAGUCCUGGCCGAGCAGCGUGAAGGUUCCGAGGUUGCGAAGGAUCUGGGCAGCAGACGACGGUGACACAGCUGACAGCACUGCAGCCAGUGCAUCGGGCAGGCAGGAGGUGGCAGUGAGGACUGCGGGCCAGCGCCUUCCCUACUUUUGCUCCACAACGAGUAAGACCAUUCUGCAGGACAUUCAGGAAGAGUGGGAAGAGAGCCCCAGGAUAGAAGCUGUGGCAGAAGCAGACGACGUCCUGCCCAGCACGUCUCCUGCCCCAUCUGGUGAGGCAGAUGCCAGGCCUUCAGCUGCUCCUAUGGCCGCAGUUCCUGGGCCCGAGGAGCUCCCCCCUGCCUGCAUGCCCAAAGAGGGAAAAGCUUCAGCCUCUCCCCUGGCUGCGCACCCUGUGUUGGAGGCCAGGACAGCACCUCUCACCCCAUCAGCAUGUGAGGAAGAAGAAGCAGCACCUUCUCCCCUGGCUGGGGGCCUUCUGCAAGAGGUAAGCAAGGUAUACCUUCCUCGUCCCACAGUCAUGGAAGCCACAGACCCCUGUCGGUGGGCCUCGAGGCCCCUCAUCCCUUAUCCAUCUGGCAUCGGGGGCAUCGGGGCCCGGAGCAUGGCCAAACAGUGGCCCACAGGGCUGUGGUUUUCUCUCCCCAUGCAGGUUUCCUCCGAGCAUAGAAGCAGUGCACAGUGUUCCUCACACUUCCAAUCGGUGCCAGAGGAAGGGCCAGGGCAGCGAUCCUCUUGGGAGUCAUCAUGCGGCACUUGAAGGGCAAGCAGGCGAUCGGGCCCAGCCAGCAUGGGUUUAUGGAAGGCAGGUCCUGCUUGACGAACCUGAUCUCCUUCUACGACAAAGUGACGCGCUGGGUGGAUGAGGGAAAGGCUGUGGAUGUGGUCUACCUUGACUUCAGCAAGGCUUUUGACACCGUCUCCCACAGCAUUCUCCUCAAGAAACUGGCUGCUCUUGGCUUGGACUGGCGCACGCUUCGUUGGGUUAGAAACUGGCUGGAUAGCCGGGCCCAAAGAGUUGUGGUGAAUGGAGCCAAGUCCAGUUGGAGGCCAGUCACUAGUGGCGUCCCCCAGGGCUCGGUGCUGGGGCCGGUCCUCUUUAACAUCUUCAUCAAUGAUCUGGAUGAUGGCAUUGAGUGCACCCUCAGUAAGUUUGCAGAUGACACCAAGCUAGGUGCGUGUGUCGAUCUGCUCGAGGGUAGGAAGGCUCUGCAGGAGGAUCUGGAUAGGCUGCACCGAUGGGCUGAGGUCAACUGUAUGAAGUUCAACAAGGCCAAGUGCCGGGUCCUGCACCUGGGGCGCAAUAACCCCAAGCAGAACUACAGGCUGGGAGAGGAAUGGUUGGAGAGCUGCCAGGCAGAGAAGGACCUGGGAGUGAUGGUGGACAGUCGGCUGAAUAUGAGCCAGCAGUGUGCUCAGGUGGCCAAGAAGGCCAACGGCAUCCUGGCUUGUAUCAGAAACACUGUGACCAGCAGGGCUAGGGAGGUGAUCGUCCCCCUGUACUCGGCUCUGGUGAGGCCGCACCUCGAGUACUGUGUUCAGUUUUGGGCCCCUCGCUACAAGAAGGACAUCGAGGUGCUUGAGCGGGUCCAAAGAAGGGCGACGAAGCUGGUGAGGGGCCUGGAGAGCAAGUCCUAUGAGGAGCGGCUGAAAGAGCUGGGCUUGUUCAGCCUAGAGAAGAGGAGGCUCAGGGGUGACCUUAUUGCUCUGUAUAAGUACAUUAAAGGAGGCUGUAGAGAGGUGGGGGUUGGCCUGUUCUCCCACGUGCCUGGUGACAGGACGAGGGGGAAUGGGCUAAAGUUACGCCAGGGGAGUUUUAGGUUAGAUGUUAGGAAGAAUUUCUUUACUGAAAGGGUUGUGAGGCACUGGAACGGGCUGCCCAGGGAGGUGGUGGAGUCACCAUCCCUGGAAGUCUUCAAAAGACGUUUAGAUGUAGAGCUUAGGGAUAUGGUUUAGUGGGGACUGUUAGUGUUAGGUUAGAGGUUGGACUCGAUGAUCUUGAGGUCUCUUCCAACCUAGAAAUUCUGUGAUUCUGUGUGAUUCUGUGAUUCCAAAACUUUUGUCAUGAAGACUGGUUUCCCAUGUACAUGAGAGACGCAUAAAGAAAUCGCAACUUCUUUUCACCAAAGUCUGAGUUGUUGUGAUAUCAUUGUGGUGAAAACACGCGCUUUUCACCAAAGUAACAUAAUUUAGGUAAACUUGGUCAAACUAAGCCCCUUUGGAGAUAUUGGAUGGCAGGCCUUACCAAAUGCCGGACAAAGGAGAAGAGCUAACACAUUUAGGAAACCAGUAUUUGCAACAACAUCUUACAGUUUGGUGCAAGCAACUAGAACAAAUCAAGAAGAAUGUUUUAGGCACUAGACCUUUUAUUUGCCUCCCAAGGGGAAGGAUGCACUUGAAUCAAUCUUAGUUGCUCUAUGUGUGUAAAUGAGGCAGGAGGAAUUGAGACUGAGCACGAAAACAUUUGGGGAAAGACUAAGGUAAUAAGGUGAUUAGUCUAAGGUGAUUACGUAAGGUAAUUCAAGAUGACCCCUCCUGGUGUCAUUGCCUAAACAUUGCCUAAAACUUUGAUGUAUCUCAGAGAUAGUUACUUACUUCAGCUGACAACACUUUUCAGUUACCUUCUUUCAGUUUCUCAUCCACAUUAUUUCUUCUUCUGAGUAGCUGAUCCCUUUCCUUCUGAAGAACCUGAAUUUUUUCCAGAAUGUCUGUCUUAUCUUCAGUAGUGCUGUCCUGAAGCUGCAUACCUUUAUCACACAAUUCCUGGUCCAGCAUACUUAAGCGGUAGACAAUUUCAUACUAUCUUUGUUUAAAGCCUUAAAAAAAAAAAAAAAAGAGAGAGAGAGAGAAAGAAAUAAGAGGAAGAAUGAAAGAAACCGUAAGUAUAAAACUCCUUCCCCAUAAACAUGUACAUGAGACUGUCGCAUCCUAAAGUGGAAGACCUGUCUACUUCUUGUAAAGGGACGCCAUUUAGGCUAAGUAGAUAGCUACCAUAAAAUUUACUAUUUAAUCAAAAGAUGAAAGAAAACAAAGAAAAGCAAUGUGCAGUUUUCUACAUAUCUUACAUGAGUUAGUCAUUACGGUGACAAUGACAUUUCAAUUUCUGUUUCUCAGUAGCCAAAGUAAAUAAUACAGAAUGUUUCUCUGCCACGUUCUCUAGUUUGCAGGCAUUGAGCAAUUUUUUAGAUAUCGUUAUUUAAUGUGCUGCAAUAACAGAACUUUGGAAGUCAGAUUUUGUUUUGUUGUUAGAAUUUCGAGGAUAUCAUGUAAAUAAAGGUUAUUACAUUCUAUUAUUCAUGUUUAAAAUGUUGAUUUGAUCAAGCCACACAAUAAUGUAAUGGCAGCGCUACAAAUACAAGUUGCAUGGCUUAAACCUCUUCUGUUAUCCGUCUGCCCUCCUCCCAUAGUCUUUUCAGGCAGCUCUACAAUUGUGUUAAGUUUCUUUCCUUCCUUCCUUCCUUCCUUCCUUCCUUCCUUCCUUCCUUCCUUCCUUCUUUCUUUCUUUCUUUCUUUCCUUCCUUCUUUCUUUCUUUCUUUCCUUCUUUCUUUCUUUCUUUCCUUCUUUCUUUCUUUCUUUCUUUCUUUCUUUCUUUCUUUCUUUCUUUGUUUCUCUCUUCUCUCUUUCUUUCUUUCUUUCUUUUUCUUUCUUUCUUUUUCUCUCUUUCUUUCUUUCUUGCUUGCUUUCUUGCUUGCUUUCUUGCUUGCUUUCUUUUUUAUUUUUCUUAAAUCACCUGGCUAGAUCUCAGUUUCUUGAUUUCUACGUGGCUUUUCUCUUGCAAUAAUGCUUCUUUUUUAGCUACAAUGGCUUCUCUUUUCUUUAAAUCUUCUUCUAGUUCCGCUAACUGUUGGUGCUGUUGAAGAAUUCUUUCCAUUUCUUCAUCCAGCCAUUUCUUUUGCUCUUCUAAUUUCUACAAUUUAAACAGAGAUCCAGAGAGCAUGACUAUGUUUUUCCUCUUUUAGAGUAACUGAUAAAACGUGAGAAAUCAACAUUUCAAUUCUUAACAUUAAUUGUUCAACAGAAUCCUGAUUCAGGAUACUACAGAAAUAG
RNAcentral lists this long non-coding RNA (5322 nucleotides) under Anas platyrhynchos (mallard). RNAcentral's name for it is "lncRNA (ENSAPLG00020009452.1)". The record is from RNAcentral. Lineage: Eukaryota; Metazoa; Chordata; Aves; Anseriformes; Anatidae.